RNAcentral lists this ribosomal RNA (1949 nucleotides) under human gut metagenome. RNAcentral's name for it is "bacterial LSU rRNA". It matches the Rfam family "Bacterial large subunit ribosomal RNA", at positions 1 to 1977 of the family's 2925-position model. The record is from RNAcentral.
UUAAGCGACUAAGCGUACACGGUGGAUGCCCUGGCAGUCAGAGGCGAUGAAGGACGUGCUAAUCUGCGAUAAGCGUCGGUAAGGUGAUAUGAACCGUUAUAACCGGCGAUUUCCGAAUGGGGAAACCCAGUGUGAUUCGUCACACUAUCAUUAACUGAAUCCAUAGGUUAAUGAGGCGAACCGGGGGAACUGAAACAUCUAAGUACCCCGAGGAAAAGAAAUCAACCGAGAUUCCCCCAGUAGCGGCGAGCGAACGGGGAGCAGCCCAGAGCCUGAAUCAGUGUGUGUGUUAGUGGAAGCGUCUGGAAAGGCGCGCGAUACAGGGUGACAGCCCCGUACACAAAAAUGCACAUGCUGUGAGCUCGAUGAGUAGGGCGGGACACGUGGUAUCCUGUCUGAAUAUGGGGGGACCAUCCUCCAAGGCUAAAUACUCCUGACUGACCGAUAGUGAACCAGUACCGUGAGGGAAAGGCGAAAAGAACCCCGGCGAGGGGAGUGAAAAAGAACCUGAAACCGUGUACGUACAAGCAGUGGGAGCACGCUUAGGCGUGUGACUGCGUACCUUUUGUAUAAUGGGUCAGCGACUUAUAUUCUGUAGCAAGGUUAACCGAAUAGGGGAGCCGAAGGGAAACCGAGUCUUAACUGGGCGUUAAGUUGCAGGGUAUAGACCCGAAACCCGGUGAUCUAGCCAUGGGCAGGUUGAAGGUUGGGUAACACUAACUGGAGGACCGAACCGACUAAUGUUGAAAAAUUAGCGGAUGACUUGUGGCUGGGGGUGAAAGGCCAAUCAAACCGGGAGAUAGCUGGUUCUCCCCGAAAGCUAUUUAGGUAGCGCCUCGUGAAUUCAUCUCCGGGGGUAGAGCACUGUUUCGGCAAGGGGGUCAUCCCGACUUACCAACCCGAUGCAAACUGCGAAUACCGGAGAAUGUUAUCACGGGAGACACACGGCGGGUGCUAACGUCCGUCGUGAAGAGGGAAACAACCCAGACCGCCAGCUAAGGUCCCAAAGUCAUGGUUAAGUGGGAAACGAUGUGGGAAGGCCCAGACAGCCAGGAUGUUGGCUUAGAAGCAGCCAUCAUUUAAAGAAAGCGUAAUAGCUCACUGGUCGAGUCGGCCUGCGCGGAAGAUGUAACGGGGCUAAACCAUGCACCGAAGCUGCGGCAGCGACGCUUAUGCGUUGUUGGGUAGGGGAGCGUUCUGUAAGCCUGUGAAGGUGUGCUGUGAGGCAUGCUGGAGGUAUCAGAAGUGCGAAUGCUGACAUAAGUAACGAUAAAGCGGGUGAAAAGCCCGCUCGCCGGAAGACCAAGGGUUCCUGUCCAACGUUAAUCGGGGCAGGGUGAGUCGACCCCUAAGGCGAGGCCGAAAGGCGUAGUCGAUGGGAAACAGGUUAAUAUUCCUGUACUUGGUGUUACUGCGAAGGGGGGACGGAGAAGGCUAUGUUGGCCGGGCGACGGUUGUCCCGGUUUAAGCGUGUAGGCUGGUUUUCCAGGCAAAUCCGGAAAAUCAAGGCUGAGGCGUGAUGACGAGGCACUACGGUGCUGAAGCAACAAAUGCCCUGCUUCCAGGAAAAGCCUCUAAGCAUCAGGUAACAUCAAAUCGUACCCCAAACCGACACAGGUGGUCAGGUAGAGAAUACCAAGGCGCUUGAGAGAACUCGGGUGAAGGAACUAGGCAAAAUGGUGCCGUAACUUCGGGAGAAGGCACGCUGAUAUGUAGGUGAAGUCCCUCGCGGAUGGAGCUGAAAUCAGUCGAAGAUACCAGCUGGCUGCAACUGUUUAUUAAAAACACAGCACUGUGCAAACACGAAAGUGGACGUAUACGGUGUGACGCCUGCCCGGUGCCGGAAGGUUAAUUGAUGGGGUCAGCGCAAGCGAAGCUCUUGAUCGAAGCCCCGGUAAACGGCGGCCGUAACUAUAACGGUCCUAAGGUAGCGAAAUUCCUUGUCGGGU